ACAGGGGAUCGCCUGUUUAUCAAAAACAUUGCCUCUCGACUCAACAAUGAGAGGUUCAUCCUGCCCAAUGACAACAUAGUUCAAUGGCCGCGGUACCCUGACCGUGCAAAGGUAGCAUAAUCACUUGCCCCUUAAUUAGGGGCUGGCAUGAAAGGACACACGAAAGCUUCCCUGUCUCACAAUAACAAAUAAAAAUUAAUCUUCAAGUGAAAAAGCUUGAAUCAAACUGCAGGACAAGAAGACCCCGUUGAGCUUUAUUCUCUAUAGACUAAAUCAAAUAUUAAAUACAUCAUAAACCUAAAAAGAAUUUAGUUGGGGUGACUAAGGAACACCGAAAACUUCCUUUUAUUAAUUAGGAUCAUUCUCCGUACAAAUUGACCCAUUACACAUGAUCAAAAAAAUAAGCUACCACAGGGAUAACAGGCUAAUCUUUCUCAAGAGCCCAAAUUGUCAGAAAGGAUUGGCACCUCGAUGUUGGCUUAGGGGCCCCUAAUGGUGCAGAAGCCAUAAAAGGUAGGUUUGUUCAACCUUUAAAACCCUACGUGAUCUGAGUUCAGACCGGAUUUCUUCU
RNAcentral lists this ribosomal RNA (571 nucleotides) under Lamellibrachia columna. RNAcentral's name for it is "partial large subunit ribosomal RNA". It matches the Rfam family "Bacterial large subunit ribosomal RNA", at positions 1783 to 2628 of the family's 2925-position model. The record is from RNAcentral. Lineage: Eukaryota; Metazoa; Annelida; Polychaeta; Sabellida; Siboglinidae.